UUGUGCUAGGUGGGGAACUAGCGGUGCCCUUUACCCGCAAUCCGCUUUAGCGGGGCUGAAUUCCUACUGGAGGAUAGUUUGAUCAGAAACUGCAAUUUAUAAUAAAUGCUGAGAACUUGGUCUUGCGCGGCAAUACCUGGUUAAUUCCGUCAGGUCCGGAAGGAAGCAGCGGUAUAUCAGUCGUAUUGGGUGCCGCAAGGUAGCUGAGUUUGAGUUUAUUUGUAUGCGUAAGACUGUGAGGUUGUUCGAAAGUAGGGCACAA
Molecule: signal recognition particle RNA, 262 nt
Filed under: Chloroflexota bacterium
Lineage: Bacteria; Bacillati; Chloroflexota
Description: signal recognition particle sRNA large type
Rfam family: Bacterial large signal recognition particle RNA
About the family: The signal recognition particle (SRP) is a universally conserved ribonucleoprotein involved in the co-translational targeting of proteins to membranes. Archaeal SRP consists of a 7S RNA and homologues of the eukaryotic SRP19 and SRP54 proteins.
Source: RNAcentral